Molecule: non-coding RNA, 21 nt
Filed under: Arabidopsis thaliana (thale cress)
Lineage: Eukaryota; Viridiplantae; Streptophyta; Magnoliopsida; Brassicales; Brassicaceae
Source: RNAcentral
GUCGCUUUGGCCGAGUGGUUA